UACGAAGGGUGCUAGCGUUGUUCGGAUUUACUGGGCGUAAAGGGCGCGUAGGCGGCUUUUUAAGUCAGGGGUGAAAGCCCGCAGCUCAACUGCGGAACUGCCUUUGAUACUGAGAAGCUUGAGUAUAGUAGAGGUAAGCGGAAUUCAGGGUGUAGCGGUGAAAUGCGUAGAUACCAGGAGGAACACCGAUGGCGAAGGCAGCUUACUAGGCCAUUACUGACGCUGAGGUGCGAAAGCGUGGGGAGCAAACAGG
Molecule: ribosomal RNA, 253 nt
Filed under: uncultured bacterium
Lineage: Bacteria
Description: partial 16S ribosomal RNA
Rfam family: Bacterial small subunit ribosomal RNA
Source: RNAcentral